GAGUUUGAUCAUGGCUCAGAUUGAACGCUGGCGGCAGGCCUAACACAUGCAAGUCGAGCGGAAACGAUCCUAGCUUGCUAGGAGGCGUCGAGCGGCGGACGGGUGAGUAACGCAUAGGAAUCUGCCCGGUAGUGGGGGAUAACCUGGGGAAACCCAGGCUAAUACCGCAUACGUCCUACGGGAGAAAGCAGGGGCUCUUCGGACCUUGCGCUAUCGGAUGAGCCUAUGUCGGAUUAGCUGGUUGGUGAGGUAAUGGCUCACCAAGGCGACGAUCCGUAGCUGGUCUGAGAGGAUGAUCAGCCACAUCGGGACUGAGACACGGCCCGAACUCCUACGGGAGGCAGCAGUGGGGAAUAUUGGACAAUGGGCGCAAGCCUGAUCCAGCCAUGCCGCGUGUGUGAAGAAGGCCUUCGGGUUGUAAAGCACUUUCAGUGGGGAAGAAAUCCUCGGGGCUAAUACCCUCGAGGGAGGACAUCACCCACAGAAGAAGCACCGGCUAACUCCGUGCCAGCAGCCGCGGUAC
RNAcentral lists this ribosomal RNA (523 nucleotides) under uncultured Gammaproteobacteria bacterium. RNAcentral describes it as "bacterial SSU rRNA". It matches the Rfam family "Bacterial small subunit ribosomal RNA", at positions 9 to 523 of the family's 1533-position model. Lineage: Bacteria; Pseudomonadati; Pseudomonadota; Gammaproteobacteria. The record is from RNAcentral.